This 74-nucleotide transfer RNA is filed under the name Marmota monax (woodchuck). RNAcentral describes it as "tRNA.Ala". Lineage: Eukaryota; Metazoa; Chordata; Mammalia; Rodentia; Sciuridae. The record is from RNAcentral.
UUGGGUAAAUAGCUCAGUGGUAGAGCACUUGCCCAGCAUGAAUGAGACCCUGGGUUUAAUCCCCAGUACUGAAA